This 253-nucleotide ribosomal RNA is filed under the name uncultured bacterium. RNAcentral describes it as "partial 16S ribosomal RNA". It matches the Rfam family "Bacterial small subunit ribosomal RNA", at positions 524 to 776 of the family's 1533-position model. The record is from RNAcentral.
UACGUAGGGAGCAAGCGUUAUCCGGAUUUACUGGGCGUAAAGCGCACGUAGGCGGAUCGUUAAGUGAGGGGUGAAAUCCCAGGGCUCAACCCUGGAACUGCCUUUCAUACUGGCGAUCUCGAGUCCGGAAGAGGUGAGUGGAACUCCUAGUGUAGAGGUGGAAUUCGUAGAUAUUAGGAAGAACACCAGUGGCGAAGGCGGCUCACUGGUCCGGUACUGACGCUGAGGUGCGAAAGCGUGGGGAGCAAACAGG